GUACACCUAAAAAUCGUGUUAUGCAAAUUAGUUGAAUCUAAUUAUACACUUCCUUGAGAUUUAAAUUUGCACUACUGAAAGUGAAAGUUGACUGUCCUAACUUAGUAUGAAAGUAGAAGUGGUCAGAAGAAUGGUUAAGAUUAUUUUAAUUGCAUUUUUUACUUUACUUAACGGGCAUUCAAUUUGUCAUGCUAAGAUACAUGUUCAAGUUUUGUACGAAUCACUAUGUCCAGAUAGCAUUAAUUUCGUAAUGCAACAACUCUAUCCGAUAUGGAACGAGGUUGCUCCAUAUGUGAAUAUUGAAUUUGUACCAUUUGGUAAAAGCUCGAGUAUAAACGGUGGACAACACUUUAUUUGCCAACACGGACCAAAAGAGUGCAUGGGAAAUAAAAUACAAUCUUGCGCUUUAUCGCUAAUACCAGAACAAAAUGCACAAGUAGAAUACGUAAACUGUUUUAUGAGCACAUUCAAAAAAGGCAUUGAUAAUGACAAUGAGCUAGGUCAGGGGUGCGCUGAAAGUCUGGGACUUCCUUGGGGAUAUGUAGCAAAUUGCUAUCAUUCAACUCACGGAACAAGAUUACAACUCGCCGCUGAGAAGGUAACAUUGGCGACUCGUCCCAAAUUUGUGCCGACCAUCAUUUAUAACGGACAUUUUGAUCAAAAAGCGCAAGAUGAAAGUCAAUUCAACUUUAAAGGGGUGUUGUGUUCCUUUAUAGUACAGUUGUAUCCAGGAGUUUGUCAAUAGAAAGCCUUUAGGUACAAAAGCUUCUAAGCAAGAUAGAUGUUUCUUUCUUUUAAUAAUAAACUUCGGGUAUUUUUGUGAUAUGUACCUACAUUAGUGGCCCUUUACCUAAUACUAAUAAUGAGAAAACUUCAGGAAAAUAUUAGACAUGGAAGAACCUGUCCCUAUAAGUACUCCGCCUUACCAUUAGAAUUUGAAUAUGUGGUCGAAAGGAUUAAACCGCAACGGGUCUGCUUUGGAUCUGCAGUGCAGCGAGAUACGAAUCCAAUUGGGAGAGGCAUAAGUGCAUUUCAAAAACGCUUUGCAUACGAACUGAAUGAUAAGGUUACCCCGCAAACUUACACUUACAACCACUUAACUUCGGGGGUGGCCCGACUGGCAAAUAAGGUGAGAAGUAAAAAAGGUGUAAGUGGUCUGUGCAAUGGUGCUGAGAGGUUUCCGAAUAAAAUUUUUAUGCGAAUACCGUCUCCUACAAGAUACACUACAGAGCCAUUUCAAAAAACCUUUAAGCAGAACUUUGUGCCAUUCAACAAAAAAGUAGGAAGAAAACUCACCAGUUUAUCACGGACUCCAGGACCAGGCCAUUACUGUGUAACAAAGAAACUGUGUCGGCGAACAAAGUGCGAUUAUAAUUUUGGGUUACCUAAAAUAAUUCCCGCCGUCGAAGUUGAAUGUACGGCGAAAGCAUUGCAUAAUUGUGGCCGAUGUGGCGAUAUUUGCAAGGACGAUUAUUGGCAUAAAAACUAUACCAGUUUUCUAUGUCACAUUUGUAUGGAGGAAGAAAAAGUUUUGAGGGAAGACUUUACCAUGAAACAAUUGAAGGAAUUUCAAAAGAUACGCCUCUGUUGGUAUAAGCAUAAUCAUGAAGGCGUGGAUGCCUAUACACAGUUAUAUUCAGACGAAAAAUUGAAACGAAGAGAAAGGUGUGAAAAUUACCUCAAUCUAUACAUUGAUUCUAUUAAUAAAUAACAGAGUGUACCUACAACACAUUUAGACUAAAUUAUUUAAUAAAAAAAUUGAUUGAGACACAAAUAAAUUAUAAAGAAUU
RNA transcript from Photinus pyralis (common eastern firefly), 1790 nucleotides. RefSeq lists it as uncharacterized. NCBI's taxonomy places the organism in Eukaryota, Metazoa, Arthropoda, Insecta, Coleoptera, Lampyridae. The record is from RefSeq and is a predicted model, not a curated record. The transcript is spliced from 9 exons.